ACAAGUGGAUUAAAAAUUGUAAAAAUAAAAAACAUGGCGGUUUUCUAUCAUAUUAGAGGAACAUGUGUUGAGAACGAAUUUGCACGAAGAAUUUUUCUUUUUUUUGAAAUCAUUUUACAUACCGCUGUCUGAAAGAUUUUUCUAAAGAAAAUAUCUUUAAUCCGGAGUUAAGGCAAGUAAAGGUGUAGACAAUAAAGAAGAAAGCAUGUGUUUCAGUGUAAUUUAUGGAGAAUGGAAAUUUUCAAAAAAGAAUUUAACAGUAAAUCUUGUUUAUCAAACAGGUUUGAAUUGGAAAUGGAAAGUGUACACA
Molecule: ribosomal RNA, 310 nt
Filed under: Physconelloides zenaidurae
Lineage: Eukaryota; Metazoa; Arthropoda; Insecta; Psocodea; Philopteridae
Description: partial 12S ribosomal RNA
Source: RNAcentral